RNAcentral lists this transfer RNA (81 nucleotides) under Immersiella caudata. RNAcentral's name for it is "Cercophora caudata tRNA". It matches the Rfam family "tRNA". Rfam says of the family: Transfer RNA (tRNA) molecules are approximately 80 nucleotides in length. Their secondary structure includes four short double-helical elements and three loops (D, anti-codon, and T loops). Further hydrogen bonds mediate the characteristic L-shaped molecular structure. tRNAs have two regions of fundamental functional importance: the anti-codon, which is responsible for specific mRNA codon recognition, and the 3' end, to which the tRNAs corresponding amino acid is attached (by aminoacyl-tRNA synthetases). tRNAs cope with the degeneracy of the genetic code in two manners: having more than one tRNA (with a specific anti-codon) for a particular amino acid; and 'wobble' base-pairing, i.e. permitting non-standard base-pairing at the 3rd anti-codon position. Lineage: Eukaryota; Fungi; Ascomycota; Sordariomycetes; Sordariales; Lasiosphaeriaceae. The record is from Rfam by way of RNAcentral.
GCCCGCUUGGCUCAGUCGUAGAGCGUGUCACUCGUAUAACGAGCGAUGAUAAGAUCGUCAGUUCGAUUCUAGCAGUGGGCA